GUGGGGAAUCUUGGUCAAUGGGCGCAAGCCUGAACCAGCGACGCCGCGUGGGUGAUGAAGGCCUUCGGGUUGUAAAGCCCUGUGGGGAGGGACGAAAACGUCAUGGGCGAAUAGGCCAUGGCCUUGACGGUACCUCCUUAGCAAGCACCGGCUAACUCUGUGCCAGCAGCCGCGGUAAGACAGAGGGUGCAAACGUUGCUCGGAAUUACUGGGCGUAAAGCGCGUGUAGGCGGAUAUAUAAGUCAGGUGUGAAAUCCCUGGGCUCAACCCAGGAACUGCAUUUGAAACUGCAUAUCUAGAGUGUCGGAGAGGAAAGCGGAAUUCCUGGUGUAGAGGUGAAAUUCGUAGAUAUCAGGAGGAACACCGGUGGCGAAGGCGGCUUUCUGGACGAUUACUGACGCUGAGACGCGAAAGCGUGGGGAGCAAACAGGAUUAGAAACCCGGGUAGUCC
RNAcentral lists this ribosomal RNA (451 nucleotides) under uncultured bacterium. Its description in RNAcentral is "bacterial SSU rRNA". It matches the Rfam family "Bacterial small subunit ribosomal RNA", at positions 354 to 796 of the family's 1533-position model. The record is from RNAcentral.